AACGAACGCUGGCGGCGCGCCUAAUACAUGCAAGUCGAACGAGAAGCUGUAGCAAUACAGUUGUACAGUGGCGAACGGGUGAGGAAUACAUGGGUGACCUACCCUCGAGUGGGGAAUAACCAGCCGAAAGGUUGGCUAAUACCGCGUACGCUUCCCAGUCUACGGGUUGGGAAGGAAAGCGAUGCCGUGGGUAUCGCGCUCAAGGUUGGGCUCAUGUCCUAUCAGCUUGNGGUGGGGUAACGGCUCACCAAGCAACGACGGGUAGCUGGUCUGAGAGGACGA
Molecule: ribosomal RNA, 282 nt
Filed under: uncultured bacterium
Lineage: Bacteria
Description: partial 16S ribosomal RNA
Rfam family: Bacterial small subunit ribosomal RNA
Source: RNAcentral